This 473-nucleotide ribosomal RNA is filed under the name uncultured bacterium. RNAcentral's name for it is "bacterial SSU rRNA". It matches the Rfam family "Bacterial small subunit ribosomal RNA", at positions 28 to 502 of the family's 1533-position model. The record is from RNAcentral.
GACGAACGCUGGCGGCGUGCCUAACACAUGCAAGUCAACUUGAGGGAAGGAGCAAUCUGUCCUGAUGGUGGCGCAAGGGUGCGUAACGCGUAAGUAACUUGCCCAAGGUAAGGAAUAACGUCGAGAAAUCGGCGCUAAUACCUCAUAAUGCAGCGGAUCCGCAUGGAUAUGUUGUUAAAGGUUUACCGCCUUGGGAUAGGCUUGCGUCUGAUUAGCUAGUUGGUGUGGUAAUGGCACACCAAGGCUACGAUCAGUAACUGGUCUGAGAGGAUGAUCAGUCACACUGGAACUGAGACACGGUCCAGACUCCUACGGGAGGCAGCAGUGAGGAAUAUUGGGCAAUGCACGAAAGUGUGACCCAGCAACGCCGCGUGGAGGAUGAAGGUAUUCUAUAUCGUAAACUCCUGUGAGAGCAGACGAAAGACAGAUUAUUAAUUGGAUGACUGUAUGCUCAGAGGAAGCCCCGGCUAACU